Molecule: ribosomal RNA, 1686 nt
Filed under: Stemonosudis rothschildi (Rothschild's barracudina)
Lineage: Eukaryota; Metazoa; Chordata; Actinopteri; Aulopiformes; Paralepididae
Description: 16S ribosomal RNA
Rfam family: Bacterial large subunit ribosomal RNA (bases 103-1573)
Source: RNAcentral
AGCUAAACCGCUAGCCCACCUAACUAGACGAAAACCCCACUAUUAAAUAUUCACCAACAAAAAAGAACAAACAAACCAUUUUCCCCCUUAAGUACGGGCGACGGAAAAAGAACCCCAGGAGCAACAGAUACAGUACCGCAAGGGAAAGCUGAAAAAGAAGUGAAACAACUAUAUCAAGCCUAAAAAAGCAGAGCCUAGCCCUCGUACCUUUUGCAUCAUGAUUAAGCUAGUACACCAGAGCAAAGCGCCCUUUAGUUCUUUACCCCGAAACUAGACGAGCUACUCCGAGACAGCCUAUAGAAGGGCCAACCCGUCUCUGUGGCAAAAGAGUGGGAAGAGCUCCGAGUAGAGGUGACAAACCUACCGAGCCUAGUUAUAGCUGGUUGCCUAGGAAAUGAAUAGAAGUUCAGCCUUCCGAUCACCCCUCCCCCCAACUGCAGUACGCACCUCAAGGCCUCGGGGUCAACGGAAGAGUUAGUCAAAGAAGGUCCAGCUUCUUUGAACAAAGACACAACUUUUUUAGGAGGCUAAAGAUCACAACCAAUAAAGGAAAUUACUAUAGUAGGCUUGAAAGCAGCCACCUACGUAAAAAGCGUUUAAGCUUAUGCAAACCUUUAAAUCCUCAAAUUCGGACAUUAUAUUCUUACACCCCUAAACCCACUAGGCCGCUUCAUGCCCGCAUGAAAGAGACCAUGCUUAAAUGAGUAAUAAGAGGACACGAUCCUCUCCCAGCAUAAGUGUACACCGGAUUGGACCACCCGCCGGUGUUUAACGGACCCAGCAAGAGGGUAAUAGACAUGAUAUAAUCCACAAGAAAACCACCUAUCAACACAACCGUUAACCCCACACAGGAGUGCUACACCAGGAAAGACCUAAAGAUAAGGAAGGAACUCGGCAAACACAAGCCUCGCCUGUUUACCAAAAACAUCGCCUCUUGCAAAUAAUAGAAUAAGAGGUCCCGCCUGCCCAGUGACCCAAAGUUAAACGGCCGCGGUAUUCUGACCGUGCAAAGGUAGCGCAAUCACUUGUCCUUUAAAUGAGGACCUGUAUGAAUGGCAUCACGAGGGCUUAGCUGUCUCCCUUGUCCCGUCAAUGAAAUUGAUCUCUCCGUGCAGAAGCGGGGAUACCUCCAUAAGACGAGAAGACCCUAUGGAGCUUUAAACGACUACGGCCCACCUAAGACAACUCAAAAUAACUGAGCAUCCUCCUUUUGGCACUAUCCCGUUUUAUGUUUUCGGUUGGGGCGACCGUGGGGAAAAGAAAAUCCCCCAUGAGGACUGUAAGCCACUCCUUUAAUAACCAAGAGACACCGCUCAAAGCAACAGAAUCUCUGACCCCUAAGAUCCGGCCCAUCCGCCGAUCAACGAACCAAGUUACCCUAGGGAUAACAGCGCAAUCCCCUCCAAGAGCCCGUAUCGACGAGGGGGUUUACGACCUCGAUGUUGGAUCAGGACAUCCUAAUGGUGCAGCCGCUAUUAAGGGUUCGUUUGUUCAACGAUUAAUAGUCCUACGCGAUCUGAGUUCAGACCGGAGUAAUCCAGGUCAGUUUCUAUCUAUGACUUGCUCUUCCCUAGUACGAAAGGACCGAGGAGAGAGGGCCCAUAUCCCCCACACGCCCCAUCCUUACUUAAAGAAAACAACUAAAAUAGGUAAAAGGACAAACACCCCUACCAUAGACCAAGAUAC